Molecule: ribosomal RNA, 253 nt
Filed under: uncultured bacterium
Lineage: Bacteria
Description: partial 16S ribosomal RNA
Rfam family: Bacterial small subunit ribosomal RNA
Source: RNAcentral
UACGUAGGGUGCAAGCGUUGUCCGGAAUUAUUGGGCGUAAAGAGCUCGUAGGCGGUUUGUUGCGUCGGCUGUGAAAUCCCGAGGCUCAACCUCGGGUCUGCAGUCGAUACGAGCAAACUAGAGUGUUGCAGGGGAGACUGGAAUUCCUGAUGUAGCGGUGAAAUGCGCAGAUAUCAGGAGGAACACCGGUGGCGAAGGCGGGUCUCUGGGCAAUAACUGACGCUGAGGAGCGAAAGCGUGGGGAGCGAACAGG